UACAUGGGGUGCAAACGUUGCUCGGAAUUAUUGGGCGUAAAGCGCACGUAGGCGGUUUGUUAAGUCGGAUGUGAAAUCCCUCGGCUCAACUGAGGAAGUGCAUCCGAAACUGGCAAGCUUGAGUACGAAAGAGGGUCGCGGAAUUCCCGGUGUAGAGGUGAAAUUCGUAGAUAUCGGGAGGAACACCGGUGGCGAAGGCGGCUCGCUGGGCAGUGGCUGACGCUGAGGCGCGACAGCGUGGGGAGCAAACAGG
This 253-nucleotide ribosomal RNA is filed under the name uncultured bacterium. RNAcentral describes it as "partial 16S ribosomal RNA". It matches the Rfam family "Bacterial small subunit ribosomal RNA", at positions 524 to 776 of the family's 1533-position model. The record is from RNAcentral.